This is a long non-coding RNA of Ruditapes philippinarum (Manila clam), 264 nucleotides long. RefSeq lists it as uncharacterized. The transcript is spliced from 3 exons. NCBI's taxonomy places the organism in Eukaryota, Metazoa, Mollusca, Bivalvia, Venerida, Veneridae. The record is from RefSeq and is a predicted model, not a curated record.
UCUUUGACACUCCGGUAAGCGGAAACUGACGUAGCUUUACGGAAAAUACCGAAUAUUUUACGUCAAUAUUGGGACGCUGAAUUUUGUUUACAAAUUUGGGAAAUAAUUAUAAGGCCUGAAAGCAAAGUUUAAGAAUGUCUGGUGCAACUUUAGAGCACAGAGAAAUAUCGGCUCCUAGAGUCAGCAAAUACAACGUUUAUAUUCAGGGUGACCUCAAGCAUAGCCAUUUUACAAUUCUGACAGUACAUGACCUAGGAUGCAAUC